This 377-nucleotide ribosomal RNA is filed under the name uncultured bacterium. Its description in RNAcentral is "bacterial SSU rRNA". It matches the Rfam family "Bacterial small subunit ribosomal RNA", at positions 524 to 898 of the family's 1533-position model. The record is from RNAcentral.
UACGUAGGGUGCAAGCGUUGUCCGGAAUUAUUGGGCGUAAAGAGCUCGUAGGCGGCUUGUCGCGUCUGCUGUGAAAACCCGAGGCUCAACCUCGGGCCUGCAGUGGGUACGGGCAGGCUAGAGUGCGGUAGGGGAGAUUGGAAUUCCUGGUGUAGCGGUGGAAUGCGCAGAUAUCAGGAGGAACACCGAUGGCGAAGGCAGAUCUCUGGGCCGCUACUGACGCUGAGGAGCGAAAGCAUGGGGAGCGAACAGGAUUAGAUACCCUGGUAGUCCAUGCCGUAAACGUUGGGAACUAGAUGUAGGGCCUGUUCCACGGGUUCUGUGUCGUAGCUAACGCAUUAAGUUCCCCGCCUGGGGAGUACGGCCGCAAGGCUAAA